GAUGAACGCUGGCGGCGUGCCUAAUACAUGCAAGUCGAGCGAACGGACGAGAAGCUUGCUUCUCUGAUGUUAGCGGCGGACGGGUGAGUAACACGUGGAUAACCUACCUAUAAGACUGGGAUAACUUCGGGAAACCGUAGCUAAUACCGGAUAAUAUUUUGAACCGCAUGGUUCAAAAGUGAAAGACGGUCUUGCUGUCACUUAUAGAUGGAUCCGCGCUGCAUUAGCUAGUUGGUAAGGUAACGGCUUACCAAGGCAACGAUGCAUAGCCGACCUGAGAGGGUGAUCGGCCACACUGGAACUGAGACACGGUCCAGACUCCUACGGUAGGCAGCAGUAGGGAAUCUUCCGCAAUGGGCGAAAGCCUGACGGAGCAACGCCGCGUGAGUGAUGAAGGUCUUCGGAUCGUAAAACUCUGUUAUUAGUGAAGAACAUAUGUGUAAGUAACUGUGCACAUCUUGACGGUACCUAAUCAGAAAGCCACGGCUAACUACGUG
RNAcentral lists this ribosomal RNA (497 nucleotides) under uncultured bacterium. RNAcentral's name for it is "partial 16S ribosomal RNA". It matches the Rfam family "Bacterial small subunit ribosomal RNA", at positions 28 to 507 of the family's 1533-position model. The record is from RNAcentral.